UCUUUUCUCAGUUUAAUGUUAUAUCUCCUGAAAAGUGUUAUCUCAUAUAAAUAAUUGCAUGGUAGAGGCUUUGUGAGUUUCAUGAAUUUGUACAUGGUCGGUUUUCCAAUUCAUUCUGCAUAUUAGAUUCAUCCUUCAAAAAUAAACCCUUCCGUCAUGUUGCCCAACUCAGAGGUUUUAGUGGGCUUCAUUUCCUAUGAAGCACUGAU
RNAcentral lists this long non-coding RNA (209 nucleotides) under Bos taurus (domestic cattle). Its description in RNAcentral is "long non-coding RNA NONBTAT025251". Lineage: Eukaryota; Metazoa; Chordata; Mammalia; Artiodactyla; Bovidae. The record is from RNAcentral.